RNAcentral lists this small RNA (1022 nucleotides) under Drosophila pseudoobscura pseudoobscura. RNAcentral describes it as "GA30950". The record is from RNAcentral. Lineage: Eukaryota; Metazoa; Arthropoda; Insecta; Diptera; Drosophilidae.
CGCUGGCCGCUGGCCGCCGCUUUUGUGGGUCAGUUGAAGGUGGAGGCGUCAGCUUGUUACCAAUUCUUGUGCUUCUUCUCUUCUCUGCUUUUGGCCAACUCGAAAAGGUGAAGGCCAGAACCGGCUAGGUCUGUCCAUCUCUUGUUAAUUAGUCAAAGUAGAUGACGCGAGCCGCGCACCAAACCGGGGAUCGGUUCACUAUAAGAGUUGGAUUCUACUCCAUGCCACCACACCUUAACGUUAUUAUUUGGUUACUUCUAUAGCCAGGCCAAGGAACUGUGUAUGUAUGUAUGUAUGUAUGUACUAUUUUACCCAUCACGUUCCGCUCAGGUUUAAAGUGAGAAAAUAAUUAAUGAUGACAGUUUGUAGCCGCUUAUUAUAAGUAUUAUUUAUGUUGUUUGCCCAAUUGUUUAUUGUUUGCUCAGUGCGGGCCUGAGAAUGACCGCGAGAGUAAGAGUGAGAGUGAGUGAGCCAGCUGUCCUCACUGUGUACAUACAUACAUAUAUACAUUUGUAAAUGCACCUGUGGGGGAGCGUGAGAAUGAGCCGUGUGCGUAGUAAACUCUGCGGCCAUUGUUUGAGUGAGCUGUAAAAGCAAGUGGAGCAAGAAUACGGUAGAGAGAGAGCGAGGACUGCUCUCUGAGCGCGUCUACAUACGAGACUUUUUACACACACACAUGUGCGUUCGAUGACAGCACUUGUUGUCUCUUACCAUCCUCUCUGAACGACGCUCUCUCACCAACAACAAAAACAACGGCCAGAAAAGUAACACAGAGCUUGAGUGAAGUGUGAGUGCAGGUGGCACCGCAGCAGAGAGAGCAGAGUGCCUUGAGCCUGUCACUCAACCCACCACCGCUCUCAAUGAAGUAAAAGAGACAAUACAUAACGAUCAAUUCCAAUUUCGCAUUAAUUAUCGCACUGACAAGUGACAACAAUGUAUUAUAUGUAAAUCUAUAAUCUAUUAUUAGAUCUUUGAUUGCCAAUCGGUUCUACCAGUAAACAUAACGAAUUAACCAUGCUUAA